RNAcentral lists this long non-coding RNA (396 nucleotides) under Gallus gallus (chicken). The record is from RNAcentral. Lineage: Eukaryota; Metazoa; Chordata; Aves; Galliformes; Phasianidae.
GCUUUUUUAUAUCUUCCAGAGAGACAUCAACCCCCAUUACUCCAAGAAUCAGCUGAUUUAUUUUUCCAUUUUGUUCUUUUGUUAGAUUGAAGACAGGCAGAGUUCCUGUAAUCACAAGGCCCAGCUCCAGAGCAUCCAGAUAGACAUUUGUCCAUUGGACCUGUUUGGCUUUCUCACCAGCUAACACCAUUGGCCUUCCCAAAACGUCCAGAUAUUCCUGGGUGUUUAUUCUUAUGGCUCCAAUGGAUGGAAUUUCAUAAUAAUAACCUUUAUUUUCACAGGCCAUCCACUGUAUAGGUCCUUUGUCAUAAUUAUGUUGACCAACAGAAAAUGUGAACACACGUACUUUUUUGUCUUCAUUAUAUUUAUGGAAUAUUUCUUGUGCUCUUUCCUCAC